Molecule: ribosomal RNA, 749 nt
Filed under: uncultured Capnocytophaga sp.
Lineage: Bacteria; Pseudomonadati; Bacteroidota; Flavobacteriia; Flavobacteriales; Flavobacteriaceae
Description: bacterial SSU rRNA
Rfam family: Bacterial small subunit ribosomal RNA
Source: RNAcentral
GAUGAACGCUAGCGGCAGGCCUAACACAUGCAAGUCGAGGGAGAGGUUAUCUUCGGGUAACCAAAACCGGCGCACGGGUGCGUAACGCGUAUACAAUCUGCCUUUCACAUAGGGAUAGCCCGAAGAAAUUUGGAUUAAUACCUAAUGGUAUAUAGGAGCGGCAUCGUUUUUAUAUUAAAGCUACGGUGGUGAAAGAUGAGUAUGCGUUCUAUUAGCUAGUUGGAGAGGUAACGGCUCCCCAAGGCGACGAUAGAUAGGGGUUCUGAGAGGGAUGUCCCCCACACUGGUACUGAGAUACGGACCAGACUCCUACGGGAGGCAGCAGUGAGGAAUAUUGGACAAUGGUCGGAAGACUGAUCCAGCCAUGCCGCGUGCAGGAUGAAGGUCCUAUGGAUUGUAAACUGCUUUUGUAAGGGAAGAAUAAGGAGUACGUGUACUUUGAUGACGGUACCUUACGAAUAAGCAUCGGCUAACUCCGUGCCAGCAGCCGCGGUAAUACGGAGGACGCGAGCGUUAUCCGGAAUCAUUGGGUUUAAAGGGUCCGUAGGCGGGCUGAUAAGUUAGAGGUGAAAGCGCUUAGCUCAACUAAGCAACUGCCUUUGAAACUGUCAGUCUUGAAUGAUUGUGAAGUAGUUGGAAUGUGUAGUGUAGCGGUGAAAUGCUUAGAUAUUACACAGAACACCGAUAGCGAAGGCAUAUUACUAACAAUUUAUUGACGCUGAUGGACGAAAGCGUGGGGAGCGAACAGG